GGGUCUGUAGCUCAGUGGUAGAGCGCUCGGCUGCAGUCCGAGUGGUCGCGAGUUCGACUCUCGUCGGGCCCU
This 72-nucleotide transfer RNA is filed under the name Giardia muris. It matches the Rfam family "tRNA". From Rfam's summary of the family: Transfer RNA (tRNA) molecules are approximately 80 nucleotides in length. Lineage: Eukaryota; Fornicata; Diplomonadida; Hexamitidae. The record is from Rfam by way of RNAcentral.